Molecule: ribosomal RNA, 371 nt
Filed under: uncultured bacterium
Lineage: Bacteria
Description: bacterial SSU rRNA
Rfam family: Bacterial small subunit ribosomal RNA
Source: RNAcentral
GUAGGGGGCAAGCGUUGUCCGGAUUUAUUGGGCGUAAAGAGCGUGUAGGCGGCCUGACAAGUCUGCUGUGAAAACUCGAGGCUCAACCUCGAGAUGUCGGCGGAAACUGUCUGGCUAGAGUCCGGAAGAGGAGAGUGGAAUUCCUGGUGUAGCGGUGAAAUGCGCAGAUAUCAGGAAGAACACCUAUGGCGAAGGCAGCUCUCUGGGACGGUACUGACGCUGAGACGCGAAAGCGUGGGGAGCGAACAGGAUUAGAUACCCUGGUAGUCCACGCCGUAAACGAUGGGUGCUAGGUGUGGGCGGUGUCGACUCCGUCCGUGCCGAAGCUAACGCAUUAAGCACCCCGCCUGGGGAGUACGGCCGCAAGGCUA